GACGAACUAGGUUAUCGAUUGUUCAGUAUUAAGUAUAUUCUGAAAGUAUGCAUUUUUGCCGUCUGAAUGUACGGGCACACGGUAUUUGGCUUGUUGCCGCCAUUACUUAAAUGAUAAGCUCAUUAUUGUCAUGAGUUUGAAAGUCGUAGGAGGAAAGACUGCGAAUAAAACACUUGCACUAUCACGUUUUGCAUUACGCUGUCUCUAUUUACAUCGAAGCAGCAUGGCCGGGGGCCAGGCGUAAACCUUGAAGUGUUCAAAUCGCAACUUCACCUUCGUUUGGCACGCGACAUGAUCCUUUUAUUCGCAGUUCUUAUUGUAAGAAACAGCAAGGGCGACUUGCGCUGAAGACAAGACGUACUGUAACUUUGGUUUUAUAGUGUGUGUAGAGAGACACAGUAUAGGCAGGGCCUGCCUCCACCCAAUUAUAGUCACCAUUAGUACGCAGCCAGCGUAAAAUAUAAUAGAAACCAUCUCCGAGCUAAUAAAGAUGACACAACGGUCACCCAGGAAAAGCCCACGCUUAAAUGAUGGCCAGGAGAUAGCUACCACUGCGAGUGGGACGCAGCUAAAGCAGACAAGUAGAAUGGUGAGCACUGUACCACAAAUGCAAAUUCCCGUUGUUAGCCCUAAAGCCCCAGCACCGUGGAUGUGGACACAAGUGUACAACCUGCCGGCACUAUGGACGCGGGAGUGAGUGCACGAGCCAGCACAUUGGCAGGAACGCCAAGCCCAAGCACGCAACUCUCAAGUACGCAAGUCAGGGACUUGAUAAAGAGAGUCGCUGCGCUAGAGGACGAGUUGCAGAGGUCAAAAACUGGUGAAGCACAUGUGAGUACAGUUACUUAUCCCGAUGAGUAAUGCUGGCGUGAGUAGUACAGCUAACCUGCCGCCAUCUUUGCUCGCAGCUUUGAGCGGAGAGCCACCGUCGGGUGGAAGUUUGAGUGAAACUGCAACUAUGAGUGUAGUCCCAAAUUCAAGAAUCGCCAUCUUUGUUUGAGGCACUGCCUAUUGCCCCAUUUCACAGCCAACGCUCAGCUACACUCCGGCACAGGAGAACCAACAAGCGAUAAUUUUGGAGCCAAUGCAGGCAACUGGGAACUACGAAAACAACUUUGGCGUACAACUUGUGAGGCGGCUAAUGAGACCAGCCACCCCACAGUUUUUACGGCAAGGUGCCGUCAUCCCUUUGGCCAAAUUACGGCAAGGAGCCGCUGGCGGCACAACGUAUUAUGUAAUGGUUCCAAGUUUUAAAAGACUUCUGUCUUUCUUGAUGGUUCUUUAUUAUCUGUUUUCUUUUCGAGUUCGAGCUGUCCACCGCGAAGCAGUGAGCAGCCGUUUUACAUACAUGGUUUUUGGAUUAUUAUAUACAGCAAGAGAGUCAGAGAGAGUCAUGCGCGCACAUAUGU
Drosophila virilis is the source of this 1409-nucleotide long non-coding RNA. RefSeq lists it as uncharacterized. Lineage: Eukaryota; Metazoa; Arthropoda; Insecta; Diptera; Drosophilidae. The record is from RefSeq and is a predicted model, not a curated record.